Molecule: ribosomal RNA, 429 nt
Filed under: Pseudomonadota bacterium
Lineage: Bacteria; Pseudomonadati; Pseudomonadota
Description: Proteobacteria bacterium partial 16S ribosomal RNA
Rfam family: Bacterial small subunit ribosomal RNA
Source: RNAcentral
UGGGGAAUAUUGGACAAUGGGCGAAAGCCUGAUCCAGCCAUGCCGCGUGUGUGAAGAAGGUCUUCGGAUUGUAAAGCACUUUAAGUUGGGAGGAAGGGCAGUAAGCGUAUACCUUGCUGUUUUGACGUUACCGACAGAAUAAGCACCGGCUAACUCUGUGCCAGCAGCCGCGGUAAUACAGAGGGUGCAAGCGUUAAUCGGAAUUACUGGGCGUAAAGCGCGCGUAGGUGGUUCGUUAAGUUGAAUGUGAAAGCCCCGGGCUCAACCUGGGAACUGCAUCCAAAACUGGCGAGCUAGAGUAGGGCAGAGGGUGGUGGAAUUUCCUGUGUAGCGGUGAAAUGCGUAGAUAUAGGAAGGAACACCAGUGGCGAAGGCGACCACCUGGGCUCAUACUGACACUGAGGUGCGAAAGCGUGGGGAGCAAACAGG